CGGGGGGCAGCAGUGAGGAAUUUUCCGCAAUGGACGAAAGUCUGACGGAGCAACACCGCGUGAAGGAUGAAGGCCUAUGGGUUGUAAACUUCUUUUCUCAAGGAGGAAGAUCUGACGUUACUUGAGGAAUAAGCAUCGGCUAACCCUGUGCCAGCAGCCGCGGUAAUACAGGGGAUGCGAGUGUUAUCCGGAAUUAUUGGGCGUAAAGCGUCUGCAGGUUGGAAAGUAAGUCUUUUGUUAAAACUCCAGGCUUAACCUGGAAUCUGCAAAAGAAACUUCUUUUCUAGAGUAGGUUAGAGGUAAAGGGAAUUUCCAGUGGAGCGGUGAAAUGCGUAGAGAUUGGAAAGAACACCAAAAGCGAAAGCACUUUACUGGGGCCGUACUGACACUCAGAGACGAAAGCUAGGGGAGCAAACAGGAUUAGAUACCCGAGU
RNAcentral lists this ribosomal RNA (434 nucleotides) under uncultured prokaryote. RNAcentral's name for it is "bacterial SSU rRNA". It matches the Rfam family "Bacterial small subunit ribosomal RNA", at positions 342 to 791 of the family's 1533-position model. The record is from RNAcentral.